RNAcentral lists this transfer RNA (68 nucleotides) under Cavia porcellus (domestic guinea pig). It matches the Rfam family "tRNA". Rfam says of the family: Transfer RNA (tRNA) molecules are approximately 80 nucleotides in length. Their secondary structure includes four short double-helical elements and three loops (D, anti-codon, and T loops). Lineage: Eukaryota; Metazoa; Chordata; Mammalia; Rodentia; Caviidae. The record is from Rfam by way of RNAcentral.
GGAGAUAUAGCUCAGCACAAAGCACCUGCCUGGCAAGCAGGAGAUUGUGAGUUCAAGUCUCCGUACCA